GUGAGGAAUAUUGGUCAAUGGGCGAGAGCCUGAACCAGCCAAGUUGCGUGAAGGAAGACGGCCCUACGGGUUGUAAACUUCUUUUGCAAUGGAAUAAAAAGAGUUACGUGUAAUUCAUUGUAUGUACAUUGCGAAUAAGGAUCGGCUAACUCCGUGCCAGCAGCCGCGGUAAUACGGAGGAUCCGAGCGUUAUCCGGAUUUAUUGGGUUUAAAGGGUGCGUAGGCGGAUUGGAAAGUCAGCGGUGAAAGUUUGCAGCUUAACUGUAAAAUUGCCAUUGAAACUGUCAGUCUUGAGUGCAAAUGAGGUAGGCGGAAUGUGUUGUGUAGCGGUGAAAUGCAUAGAUAUAACACAGAACACCAAUUGCGAAGGCAGCUUACUGGGAUGCAACUGACGCUGAGGCACGAAAGCGUGGGGAUCAAACAGGAUUAGAAACCCGGGUAGUCC
Molecule: ribosomal RNA, 445 nt
Filed under: uncultured bacterium
Lineage: Bacteria
Description: partial 16S ribosomal RNA
Rfam family: Bacterial small subunit ribosomal RNA
Source: RNAcentral